This is a non-coding RNA of Pantoea sp. PSNIH2, 139 nucleotides long. The record is from Rfam. Lineage: Bacteria; Pseudomonadati; Pseudomonadota; Gammaproteobacteria; Enterobacterales; Erwiniaceae.
UCAGAUCUCUAUCGUUUCUUACGGUAAAGAGAAGCCGGCUGUUCUGGGUCAUGACGAAGCGGCAUACUCCAAAAACCGUCGUGCCGUACUGGUAUACUAAGAGAGUCACAUGAUUAGUAGCUUCAGAUCUCACCUGUUG